AGUAGAAACUUCCCGACCAGCCCCCAACCUACCCACCUCCUUCCGCAGGAGGCAGCCGUCGCGGGUGAGCGAGCGACGGUGAGGGAGCCCGCGGCGCCGUGACUGGCCGCAGACGGAUCCACCUCCUUCCAAUCUCUGAUUCCCCACACCCGUCGCCGUACUUCUCAUUUUCUCCCGACCAAGAGCGCCGGCGACCUUGCUCUUCUUCCUCCUCCAGACCAAAUGUGUCACCAGUCCCGCUCCUCUUCCUCCUCCUGGCACGCGCGCCGCCAUCCCCGCACCUCCUUCCUCUCCUCCUGGCACGUGCGCUACCGUCCCCGCGCCUCCUUCCUCCUCCUGGCACCCGUGCCUCCUUCCUCCUCCUAGCACCCGUGCCGCCGCCCCCGCACCUCCUUCCUCCUCCUAGCACGCGCGCCGCCGCCGCACCUCCUUACUCCUCCUGCCAUGCGCGCCGCCGCCCCGACCUUCCCUGCCGCACUCUCCUCCCAGGCUCCUGCCGCCGCCCCGACCACAUCUCCACCAGCUCCGGCCACCGCCGCGCCCCCAUCUCCCCCGGCUCCCACACCGCGCAUCUCGUCCUAGUGGGGCUCCAUAACCACAGUACCGGACCACCCCAGGCCAUUCAACGCCACCAACCCGGUCCGUUCAUUGCAGCAACACCCAGGAUCUGGCUACCACCAUGUCAUUCCCACGGUGACGUUCGAUGGAGCACCUCGUCUCUCUCCUGCUGCAGGGAGGCCCAGCUACUGCACUGUGGAGUGAGCUGUAAAAAAUAAAAAAUGUGGCAAAUUAGGUAGAGAUUAAACAUCCCCCGGAGCACAUCGUCGGUGUCCAUGAGCGGGGCUCCCGUGGAUGGCUGGAUCCCGUCGUCGGCGUCGAUAGCGUCCACGAGCGCGAGCACCCCACAUCCGGCGUACAAAUAGCUCCACUAGAAUUGGUAACUGGUGGAGAUCAUUCAUGUUGAUUACUUUUGACAAGAAUAAUAGUCCGCUAGAGAAUUUGCUGAAGAUUAGAUAGGAGUGAAAAAACUAAAGGUUUGGAAGUGAUGGUCGCGGCCUCUUCCUUCUGUAGGUCACCGCCUCCUGCUUCUGCAGGCCGUGCCCCAUCCCCCGAUUCCCGCAGCAGACAGGCCGUUCACCGCCGGCACCACAGUCCCUUCACUGCCGACAACCGAGGCCGUUCAACGGCGCAACGACGAGUAUGAGAAGAUUUGUAGAUGCACAACAGAGUUUGCAGACUGCCAUGUUAAACAAUGUCAACAGGCAACAAGCAGCAAGGGAAAAAGAAGAGCAAGAUUGACAUCAGUAGUCAAAAAUAAUAGAACAUCAGUUCUAAAAUUCCCCGCGCAUCAGUACACCUAUUUCUGGUUCUCUAGAUUGGUCUUGGUACAGGAUACAUCUUAAGCUUGGUCUUGGUACAGGAUACAUCUUAAGCUGGAGUUCGUCGCUAAGCAGAUGGAGAUGUGUGUAUGUAUACAUGUGUUCUGGAGAUAGGAGAACUUAUCUGGUGGUGUGUGCGUGCUGCUGCAUCCUCUUCGGGCUGCUCUAAUUCACACCUUCAGUACAACUUCUUUCAGCGAGGUGGAGAUUGGGGCACGGUGGAGUGUGACCGUGUGUGUGCAUACGGCCCACCGCAACGUCACCGGCCGGAUCCCGCUCUUCAGUGUACAGCAAGAAGUUCAUGUAUUGAUGCCCCUGGAGUCCAUGUAGCUCUGCUGCCGUGCUACCCUUAUCGGCCUCGGCUAUGUCGAAGGAGCUCCCUUCUGUUCAGUGGAUUCAACAAAAAAAAGUCCCUGCUGCCACUGCAUCCUGAGUUCAAGGGAUUCCUUAGGGGCCUUCUACACCAUCUUGCUAAUGAUGCCAUCGCUGGAUGCCACAGCCAUGCUCGUGUUCUUGUACUGCCAUUCACAUACUGCUCCCUGUUUUACUUCAUUGAGAUCCAUAGAAAUAAGUUAUAUUCAGUUCGCCACUUUUACAAUUGAUGGUCUUAUGUUGACCGAAACAAUAGUUCAAGCUCCUAAAAAAGCAAUUAUGUGUAUGCUACAUCACUUUGAGGAACUACAGCAAACAAAAUAAGGAGAGCUUGGUACUACAUGAUUUUUUUAUAGUACUACUUGAAGCC
This is a long non-coding RNA of Triticum aestivum (bread wheat), 2121 nucleotides long. RefSeq lists it as uncharacterized. The record is from RefSeq and is a predicted model, not a curated record. The transcript is spliced from 11 exons. NCBI's taxonomy places the organism in Eukaryota, Viridiplantae, Streptophyta, Magnoliopsida, Poales, Poaceae.